Rhagoletis zephyria (snowberry fruit fly) is the source of this 1917-nucleotide long non-coding RNA. RefSeq lists it as uncharacterized. NCBI's taxonomy places the organism in Eukaryota, Metazoa, Arthropoda, Insecta, Diptera, Tephritidae. The record is from RefSeq and is a predicted model, not a curated record.
UAUGCAUGAAAUAAAAGUUUCAUAGAAAAAAAUUACAACUUCUUUUGAUCUUUUUUAUAUUUUUCCACAGGUUAAUGAAAUGUAGUAAAUUAAGAAGAGGUUACUACUGAAAUAGAGAUAAUUAGGGCAUAUUUAAAUUUAUGUCGUUUUCCUCUUUGCAAUGGAAUGACCCAUAUGUAUAUAGUUAGUAUAAUUUAAGAAAGUAUCGCACAAAUUUGUCAAAAUGACUGUGCGAACUAUCUUAUGGACAUGAUCAUCCAAUUUCCGAAAGCGGCGAAAAAAACCCAUUAAAAAAAAACAGUAUUUGUUUCAAUAGCAAAGCAUCGUUGCUUUUAAAAAAAACCUAAUCAAAUUCAAAUGUAAAAAUAUUUGUUUCAAAGGUUUCGUAUUACAUUUUCUUUCGAUUACGUUUUCCACAUGUAAAAGUAUUUGCCACAACAAUUUCGCAUUUCUAAUGACUGUUUCUCCAUACGACGACAUUGAAGUUGACGUUUACGUUGUUCCAUCGAUCAUUCUAGCAGAAACACGUUUUGCGGCGGUAGCAAUUUUCAUUUGUGGAUUAUAGAUAAAUGUUUGUACUACAAACACAAAUUUUAGUGAAAGUGAAUAUUUUAAAACAUUUUACGCUUAGUGAGGCUGUGCAAAAGGAACUUAGUUUGCAUUUUCAUUGGUCUUCCUGCUGCAUGACGCGCUGCUCAACGACUCCGUGCAAAAGUUGAUUUUCCAGUGCAUUUUAAUUUGAGGCGACAUUUUUGCGUGAAAGGACUAUUCCAAAGUAACGCUGUGCGACAGGUGAUUUUCCAGUGAUUUUUUUAAAUUAUCAGUAUGAGUGAUGAAGUGAUACCAUCGACGUCUACGGAGCUGUCAUUAUUUGCCGAGCAACGUCCGUUGGAAGAUGAGUUCCCUACAACCAAAAAUGUCAAAAAUCAGUCAGUCAGAUAAACUGAACAUGGCAUAUUACGACGCCAUGCUUGGUGCAAGUGAUGCAAGUAAUGUCGAUUUCUUCUGUUGUGUGAUUUUCGUCAUUAAUUUCAUGUUUUUUUUUUUUUAUUUAGAUUGCAGGCAUUAUUUUUUAUUAUCUUAUUGCAUGCAGUAAUAACACCGCACUAUGUAACGAAAUGUCGAUUUCGUGCGAUAAAGUCCACUUUGAAUAUUUUAUAUUUUCCUUAAUAUCUUAAUUAAAUCUAUAAACCGAUAUUAUUUUUAGCUUAAUUCUCAAAUUUCUUGAAAUUUUAUUAUUUAUUCUCCAGGUAACAAGCCCUCAAAGUUUGCCGAAAUUACUCAAAUCAGAUAUUAAUUUUCCUAUCGUAAAAAAAACAUCGACUUAAUUCCUUUUUUUCUAUUAAUAUAUGCCAGUUAUGUUAUUUAUGUUAAAAGUGUUUGUGUUGCAAAUCAAUAUUUCAGCAAUUCAUUAUCAGGGCUCUUUUUCGAUUUGCAGUCGUAAUUUGUAUAGAAUUAUCUUUGCAAGCCUGUAGUCUUCAUAAAGGCUAACGAAAAAUAAUAAUUUUUUGCAUACGUAUUAGUAAUAGUAUAUAUUAUUUAAUCAUAAAGAGUUUUCUUGAAUCCCUUUGCUCUCGUUAAAUUAGAAGUCGUACAGUGCUUAAUUUUUAUUUUUAUGAAGCUUUUACCCGCGGGUUUCCCUCCUCGUCUUUAUACAAAUAUGAAAAAAACUUUAUGUAACGAUGUUUAAUUUUAUUUCUUCUCUAAUUUUGCUAUAGGAGAAUACGGAAGGACAGUUGUAUAGCUUGGGUGAUUACACCCAAUAUAUGAAAUAUAAUAAUAACUUUUUGGCACAGCAGGUGUUUUUAUCAUUUACAUUAAAACAUCUCCAAUAAAUAAUAUAUCGUCGUUUAAAGUACAAACCCGCGUAUCAACAAACCGCCAAUCGAAUUUCUGGCAGGUAUAUUUCAGGACGAA